GCCGGAGUGGUGAAAUAGGCAGACGCGCCGGACUCAAAAUCCGGUGACCCUUGCGGUCGUGUGGGUUCGAUUCCCACCUCCGGCACCA
RNAcentral lists this transfer RNA (88 nucleotides) under Myxococcota bacterium. RNAcentral describes it as "tRNA-Leu". It matches the Rfam family "tRNA". Rfam says of the family: Transfer RNA (tRNA) molecules are approximately 80 nucleotides in length. The record is from RNAcentral. Lineage: Bacteria; Pseudomonadati; Myxococcota.